AAUAAGUACUACUAUGUAAUAUUUGCUAGAGAAACUGAAAAAUAUGCUGGUUACAAGUCGGUUGCUUACUUAAUCAAAUAGUCCUAUGUGCUAGUAAGAGAAUGAAUGAAUUAACUAAUUAAUACAAUAAAAUACUAGUUAGUAUUACUAAUUAGUUUUUAGAAUUAAAUGUUUAGCCAGCUUGCCAUAUCUUGAGCGUGUGUGUGUGAAGGUGGGAGAGGCUGUUGCGCGCGCGUGUCCUCGUCUAUUUUUCCUGUGGGAAUUAAUGCCAUUUCACGUGGGUAUUAUUAGAGGUGGCCGUUACUAAACUUAGCUUCAUUCUCUAAGUUAUUCAUUCUCUAAGUUUGUCCAUGAGUGGACAAAAAAGAAAUGGCAACAAAUAACCAGACCGAUUAGGAAAAUGCCAAAAUAAGAAGGAAAAUAGCAUUGUAAACGAUGAGACGGAGACGUCUGAGAGCGAUGACUUCCGUGGCCGGGAGCAAGAUCGUUUCCUUGCCGUGGAAAAAUAGUCAGGAAGGGGAAAAAUGUUGAGGGGUUGGUGUGGGGUAAAGAGAAAGAAAAACUCGAUCUUUGUCUACAAUCAAUGCAGCCCUCCUCCUCCCCCAUGUCGCCGCCAUCUCCCAGGCCAUAAUUUACGAUCCCUCGCUAUUUAUUUGGCUCACACCUCCCGGUAAAGCCCCGUUAAACAACUUCACACCAAAGCAUGCCGUUGAAUCAUGAUGGCAGCUCAUUUCGCAGGGAGGCUUGGUGAGGAGACUCUGUGGAGCCCAGAACUCAGGGGUCAAGUCCAGGUUUUCCCAGCCCCCAGCAUCCCUCCCGCUCUCCUCCGCUCCAGAGAGAUGGACAGAAUCAGGGAGAGGCGUGAAGGGAUGGGGAGGAGAGGACAUGAGCCUGAAGUGAUAGAUUGACACUUACGAUGAGGAACAGUGGGAACAGAUAUUCAUUUAUGGACGAAAAACAAUUUACUUUUACAUUUCGCAGAAAGCGUGUUUGGCUUCUGCGGGGUUAGUUUUUUGUUUGUUGAAAGGUUGUGAUUCUGGAGUCUUGAUUUUACAUGUCAGUUCUGAUGGUAAAUAUUGUGUUUUGCAUAUUUUUAGGGACACAGCAACUUUCAAACAACCAUAAUCAAAUAAUAUAUCUUUAUAUAAAAGAUGGAUGUUUUGAACAUUAACAGAAAUAAAUUUUUUAUAUAACUUAGUAGAAAUUUUAUG
Molecule: long non-coding RNA, 1211 nt
Organism: Cyprinus carpio (common carp)
Lineage: Eukaryota; Metazoa; Chordata; Actinopteri; Cypriniformes; Cyprinidae
Source: Ensembl